CAGCACCUCAAGUGGUCAGGAUGAUUAUUGGGCCUAAAGCAUCCGUAGCCGGCUCUGUAAGUUUUCGGUUAAAUCUGUACGCUCAACGUACAGGCUGCCGGGAAUACUGCAGAGCUAGGGAGUGGGAGAGGUAGACGGUACUCGGUAGGAAGGGGUAAAAUCCUUUGAUCUAUUGAUGACCACCUGUGGCGAAGGCGGUCUACCAGAACACGUCCGACGGUGAGGGAUGAAAGCUGGGGGAGCAAACCGGAUUAGAUACACGCGUAGUCC
RNAcentral lists this ribosomal RNA (270 nucleotides) under uncultured archaeon. Its description in RNAcentral is "partial 16S ribosomal RNA". It matches the Rfam family "Archaeal small subunit ribosomal RNA", at positions 477 to 747 of the family's 1478-position model. The record is from RNAcentral.